GAAAUGCGAUAAGUAAUGUGAAUUGCAGAAUUCAGUGAAUCAUCGAAUCUUUGAACGCACAUUGCGCCCUGUGGUAUUCCGCAGGGCAUGCCUGUUCGAGCGUCAUUUAACCACUCACGCCUAGCGUGGUAUUGGGGUACGCGGUCUCGCGGCCCUCAAGAUCAGUGGCGGCGCCGGUGGGCUCUAAGCGUAGUACAUACUCCCGCUAUAGAGUUCUCCCGGUGGCUCGCCAGAACCCCCAAUUUUUUUUACAGGUUGACCUCGGAUCAGGUAGGGAUACCCGCUGAACUUAA
This 293-nucleotide unclassified non-coding RNA is filed under the name uncultured Helotiales. Its description in RNAcentral is "sequence contains ITS1". The stretch from base 1 to 105 matches the Rfam family "5.8S ribosomal RNA", at positions 50 to 154 of the family's 154-position model. The record is from RNAcentral. Lineage: Eukaryota; Fungi; Ascomycota; Leotiomycetes; Helotiales.